This 645-nucleotide ribosomal RNA is filed under the name Triticum aestivum (bread wheat). RNAcentral describes it as "partial small subunit ribosomal RNA". The record is from RNAcentral. Lineage: Eukaryota; Viridiplantae; Streptophyta; Magnoliopsida; Poales; Poaceae.
AUGCAUAUAGAUAGCUUAUUUGCAUUGUUCAAAAAACUUUGUAGUCUCAACGAUGAUGCAUACAUGUCCACUAUGGGUGUUGGGUCCAACAAUUCGCAUUGGUCUCAAACCAAUGACAUCCAUUUCGAAGACCAUGAGUUUGAGGUGGACGAGGAGGGUGAGGGAAUUGUCGAGGCGCCGAAAGGAAGAGCGGGCAAUUACUCAACCAACGAUGACAAGUUACUAUGCAAUACUUAUUUGCAUGUGUCGAGGGAUCCAUCCAUUGGAGGUGAUCAAAGUAGAGACGCGUAUUGGGGGCGAAUGAAAGAACACUUUGAUGCUCACAAUAAGAGUGGAAUUGACCGCUCCGAGAGAUCACUUCGGUCCCGAUGGUCGACAAUCAACUCGGAUUGUCAAAAGUGGGCGGCCGUACAAAAGGCCGUUGACAAGAUUAACCCAAGUGGCACAAAUGAGGAUGAUCGAGUAAGUGGCAUCUCAUAUAUGUUCAUCAUACUUGUUUUUGGUGACCGAAGUGCUAACUUGUUUUGUUUUUCUUGUAGUACAACAUUGCACAAAACUUGUUCAAAGAAGAGACAAGGACAACCAAGAAGGGGAACAUCAAGAAAGGCAGGAUCUUUACCUUGCCUCAUUGCUAUGAAGUGUUAA